CCUUUCCCGCGCGACCGGCGAGGGAGGAAGAAGCGCGAAGAGCCGUUAGUCAUGCCGGUGUGGUGGCGGCGGCGGAGACUGCGGGCCCGUAGCUGGGCUCUGCGAGGUGCAAGAAAGCCUUUGAGGUGAAGGUGUAUGAAAGUCAUCAUAACAGAUGUUUUCCAAAAACUUGUAGAAGGUUGUGAAAAAACUACUAGGAUCACGCGGCAUGUAUUGAGCAUAUAGGUUGCUGUAGAUGAAUGUUCUUAGCUGUCAUGUUUAAAAAUACUUCUGCUUCGUUACCUCAAGUGUGGCAUGCAGCAUUUUGGAAGGAAAAUUGAAGACGUGUUCAAGAAAACAUGAACAGAAGCAAAUGAUGAAAAUGAGCAUUUUACUUGAUGUUGAUAACAUCACAAUAAAUUAUGGAGAAAAAUACAUAUUUGGCUAACUUUUAAUUGCUGAACAAUAAAGUGUUUUCUUUUAAAUCAACUCU
Molecule: long non-coding RNA, 472 nt
Filed under: Homo sapiens (human)
Lineage: Eukaryota; Metazoa; Chordata; Mammalia; Primates; Hominidae
Description: non-protein coding SNHG6:4
Source: RNAcentral